RNAcentral lists this non-coding RNA (30 nucleotides) under Mus musculus (house mouse). Lineage: Eukaryota; Metazoa; Chordata; Mammalia; Rodentia; Muridae. The record is from RNAcentral.
UGGAUGAAUGUGAAACUUUCUCAGAGCAUC